Cygnus atratus (black swan) is the source of this 1211-nucleotide long non-coding RNA. RefSeq lists it as uncharacterized. Lineage: Eukaryota; Metazoa; Chordata; Aves; Anseriformes; Anatidae. The record is from RefSeq and is a predicted model, not a curated record. The transcript is spliced from 2 exons.
GCUCCUGCUCCCGCUCCCGGUCCCGGUCCGUCCGGCGGCUCUGCGGGUGCCAGCAGCGUCCCCCAGGAGCCCCCAGCCCUAUUUACCUGCCCGAGCGAGGAAGCAGAUUUCACUAGUUUGGAUCAAGCACGGAGUCCCACGUUACGGGUUAGCCAGCAGGAGAAGCGAGACCUCCAUCUGAGAACAGCCUGGUAUUUCAAAGCGCAGCAGCAUUUCCCGCACGUUUCCUUUUCUGGUGGCCAGAAAGCUGAGCUCAAUUUUCCUGUCAUGGAUUUCGCAUGGUUCCUUGGCUUGCCAUCUGCCCUCUUGCUGACACAUCUGGACUUUUCCAAGAAACUGCAACAGAAAUCAGAUCACUUGGACUUUUGCAAACUUAUGAGUUGGUUGAGAUGAUGAACAGUCACACCGCAGCACUUGUAGAAGGAUUACUCAAAAUAGUUUGGACGGCUUUGUUUCUCAUGCUGCCUCCCUCAGCAUUCUGCCCAGAUUAGAAAACGCCACGUUAACACCCUUUGCCAUGCCGCUGGUGACGAAGCAGCGUGAUAACCUGUUCACAGCUGUUAUUUGGAUGUGAGUGAGUCGCUGGAGGUGGGAGGUCUGGGACGGCACACUACGGGAGUCCCCGUGUGCCGUGUGAUGGAUGCAGCACGCCCACAAACAGAAAGUAAGCCGCUUCUCACCGUACCAUGUGGCAGCACUACCGAUUCUUUCUGUUUGGAAUUUAAUAAUGGCAAAAAUGUGUCAGAUUGAUUUUCUUAGAGAGGGGGAUACCAUGUCCAGGAGGCAGAAACGGCUUCUCCAGGCAAUCUCUUCCUGCCAGGGGGAUGAGAGUUUGGUGAAACAAGGACCUCCAGUUGCUCGUUCUCUGUCUCUUCUUUUGCUUGACCAAGGAACCUCUGAGAAGGGCUCUGUGGGAUCACUGCCUGAUCAGGGGAAAGCUCAGCUCUGCUCACCACUGCCUUCCUGACCUGAGGAGGUAUUUUCGAAAAGGAAUACAGCAUCGUAUUCUCAUGGGUUUGGCUUCAUCGGUGUGUUGUUUCACACACUUGAGAGCUUCAGGACACACAGAAGCAUUGGUUUUUGUAACUACUCUUGCAAAAUUGGGUUUCUUGCUAAUAUUCAGAGAAAAGCCUGAAAAGCAAGGAAAUGCCUCACUCUCUAUAAGUAGCCACUUACCAAAGCAAAAAUACAAUUAAUCUCUUUCCUGAUGA